This 301-nucleotide ribosomal RNA is filed under the name uncultured bacterium. Its description in RNAcentral is "partial 16S ribosomal RNA". It matches the Rfam family "Bacterial small subunit ribosomal RNA", at positions 509 to 812 of the family's 1533-position model. The record is from RNAcentral.
CAGUAGCCACGGUAAUACGAAGGGUGCAAGCGUUACUCGGAAUUACUGGGCGUAAAGCGUGCGUAGGCGGUUUGUUAAGUCUGUUGUGAAAUCCCCGGGCUCAACCUGGGAACUGCGCUUGUGACUGCACAGCUAGAGUAUGGCAGAGGGGGGUGGAAUUCCACGUGUAGCAGUGAAAUGCGUAGAGAUGUGGCGGAACACCGAUGGCGAAGGCAGCCCCCUGGGCCAAUACUGACGCUCAUGCACGAAAGAGUGUGGAGCAAACAGGAUUAGAUACCCCCGUAGUCCCUGUCUCUUAUAC